ACAGAUGUGGAUGCAAGUAAAAGGAUUUCAUGGCAUCCAAACCACCAUGUCUUUCUAGAAUCCCAACAUCAAUGCAAGUUAUAGAAUGGAUCUCCGAGAUGGAGACAAUGUUUGAUAGUUGCGAAUGUAGCAACAGACAGAAGACCGCUCUUGCAAAUCCCCUGUUAAAAAUCUAGAGUACUAAGCUGGUGGAAGCUACUAGCUGAUUCGAUGCCCAAGGGAGAAUCUAGCAAGAUGUCUUUGAUGGGUUUUAGCCAUAAGAACUUUCCUAUGUGCGCAUGCAAAACCCUAAUGCUUGGAUCUAGGCUUUCUAAUAAACAUGCUUUGAAUCCAAGACUUCUAAUUGCUAAUUAGGUUAAAUAACAACAUUGAAACAGAUCUAGAAUCAUACGUUUGAGUUCCUUGUUGAUCUUGAGGUCUUGGAGCUUCUAGAGUCACAAAUGUCACUCCUCUAAUGGCUUACAAACACCAAAGCAAGGAGGAUGAUUUGGGAGAGAGGAGAGGGGAGGAAUUUCGACCAGAGGUUCCUUACUUUAGGUCAAGUGUCGAAUUCCAUCAGCCAUGGGGUCUAUUUAUACUUGUAGACUCCUUAAGGAUUACAGAUAAGUCCCUAUCAGAUAAUCUUCUCUUAAGGCUAUCCAAAUCCAUUCCUAGAUAACUCUAAUGGACGAUUUUAGCUAUCCUAAUCCUCUUAGAAUUCGUCCAUAGUAUAUCCAAAUGGAUUUACAGUCUAAAGCUUAACUAUCAAACAAUUGACAGUUUAUACCCCUUUAUUUAAUUAAUUUCUUUAAGUCACCAAAUUAAUUCUAAUUAAUUCUAUGACUUAUAUUAAUCAAAUAACAAAUAUAUUAUUCAUUAUAUUAUUCUCAUAAUAUAUUAAUAAUAUUUACUCUCUCUUAAUAAAUCAUCCUAUCAAGUUGCUAUGGUGAAGGCAACCCAAAAGGACCAUGCACAACCGGAUCAAAUACUUGCCUAAUAUAGUUACAGCCUUAGACACUAUUCCAACAGUCUCCCACUUGGAUAAGUCUAGUAACUAUACAAGUACAAUUCGGUUUGCAAUCGUAGCUCUCAAAGACGCUGUCAACUCUGAUCUAAUCAAUCUUGUCCUUUAGAUAAGGGAACGUACAGUCCUCUGUUAGAUAUCAUGCUGACAAUCCUAUGGAAUGGUUAGUCAAGCAUUUAGGUUUCUCGAUCUCUGAUUUAUUUGACAUAGAACUUAAUCGAACACAUCAAUUCAGUUCUGACCGGGCCCGGCACAUAAGUCAAAUCAAAUCAUCGAGCGGCCGAGAUAUCGCUUUUACCUUCUUAGAUAAAAGUUACAGAUAAACUUCGACUUAUAUGCAUUUACUUAUUCAUUUACCAACUAUACACAACAAUACGUUUUAUAACACCAAGUUACUGAUGCGUUUUCGUAUUAUCAAUGUACAAUCAAUUAACAAAUAAUAAACCAUAUAUCUAGGUUUUAAGACUAUAUGAUAUUAUCGUCUUGCGAUCACCUUUUAUAUCGUAUUCCAUAAGGUGAUUCCAGCAAGCGCGGGUUUAUUCCAAUGCUCAAAACUAGUUCAUAAGCACUCAUGAACGUUGCAGCAAUCCUUUGCUAUGUCUAACACCAUUUAGACAUUCUACACACCAAUUCAUGACAAUCUUCAUUCAUAUCUACUCCCAACAUAUGAACGAUUGUGGACCAUUUGAACAAUUCGAUUAUUCCUAAUAAACUCAAUUAUUCUGGAAGUCAAAACAUGCAAAGUGAAACAAUAGCUAAACAAUUAACAUAAGAUAGUAACAUUACUCAUAAAUAAAACUCCUUUAUUUAAUCAUCAAAUGUUAAUUACAUUUAUCUAUUACACGUUUCUAAUACUAUCUAAUCUAUGCUAAUAUCAUCCUUCAGCCCAAUACUCCUAGCAUGCUGCAAGUGCUUAACCCUACUCAGUCCCUUCGUAAGCGGAUCUGCUGGGUUAUCUUCUGAUGAUAUCCUCUUCACUACGAGUUGUCCUUCUUCUACACGAUGUCUAAUGAAGUGAUACUUUCUGUCGAUAUGUCUUGAUCUACCAUGAUCCCUCGGUUCCUUGGUCAAGGCAACCGCGCCUUCGUUAUCACAGAAAAUCUCCAUUGGCUCCUUUAUGGCAGGUACAACUCCAAGAUCACCGAUGAAGUUCUUUAGCCAUAUUGCCUCCUUCGACGCUUCGCUCGCUGCAAUGUACUCUGAUUCGCACGUUGAAUCAGCUACGGUUUCCUGCUUGGAACUCUUCCAUGUCACUGCUCCUCCAUUUAGGGUAAAGACCCAGCCCGACUGCGAACGGUAGUUGUCCCUGUCGGUCUGAAAACUGGCGUCACUAUACCCUCGCACCUUCAAGUCAUCACUCCCUCCGAGGACUAAGAACCAUUCCUUCGUCCUCCGAAGGUACUUAAGGAUAUUCUUCACCGCAAUCCAAUGUGCUUUGCCAGGAUUCCCUUGAUAUCUGCUAACCAUGCUCAAAGCGAAGGCUACAUCAGGGCGAGUACAAGUCAUAGCGUACAUGAUUGAGCCAACUGCGGAAGCGUAUGGUACUCGGCUCAUUUCUGCUAUCUCAGCUUCGGUACUCGGACUUUGAGUCUUACUCAAUUUGGCAUUACUUUGUAUCGGUAGUUCUCCCUUCUUUGAGUUUUCCAUACUAAAACGUUUUAGUACCUUCUCUAAGUAAGUAUUCUGACUAAGUCCAAUUAGUCUCUUACUUCUUUCUCUUACUAUCCUUAUUCCCAAAAUGUAAGAAGCCUCUCCGAGGUCCUUCAUAGCGAAGCACUUCCCGAGCCAGGACUUAACCUCCUGCAGAGUCGGGAUGUCGUUUCCUAUGAGUAAUAUGUCAUCGACAUAUAGAACGAGGAAGCUUACUAUACUCCCACUGGCUUUGACAUAUACACAAGAUUCGUCUUCGCUUCGUACAAAUCCAAACUCUUUGACUUUCUCAUCGAAGCAAAGAUUCCAUCUGCGAGACGCUUGCUUAAGUCCAUAAAUGGACUUCUCAAGCUUACACACUCUAUUCGGAUGCUUCGGAUCCACAAACCCCUCUGGCUGAGCCAUGUAAACAUCCUCAGCCAACUUUCCGUUAAGGAAAGCGGUCUUGACAUCCAUUUGCCAAAUCUCAUAAUCAUGAAAUGCGGCAAUAGCUAGCAUCACUCUAAUAGAUUUAAUCUUCGCAACUGGUGAGAAGGUCUCAUCAUAGUCAACUCCGGGAGUUUGAGUAAAGCCCUUCGCAACCAAUCGCGCUUUAUAUGUGUGUACGUUUCCAUCCACGUCGGUCUUCUUCUUGAAGAUCCAUUUGCACCCAACGGUCUUACGUCCGGGCACAUAAUCAACCAAAUUCCAAACUUGGUUAUCAUACAUGGAUUGGAUCUCGCUAUCCAUUGCCUCUUUCCAUUUUGCAGACUCCGGGCCUGCCAUGGCUUCCUUAUAGCUAUUAGGUUCAUCAAGAUUUACUAGUGUACCAUCACUAAUAUACGUGUCCCCUUCGGUAGUAAUAUGAAAGCCAUAAAACUGGGGAUGAACUCUAACUCUAUCGGAACGUCUAAGAGGUAAGGAUUCGUCAAUCGGUUCAACCGGAGUUUCCUCCUCGGGUUGAGUGCCAGCGGUAGAGGUUCCUUCAUCUAUCGACUCUUGAAUCUCUUCAAGUUCGAUUUGCCUCCCACUGUCUCCUUGGCUUAUGAGUUCUCGCUCUCGGAAAACUCCUCUCCUCGCAACGAAGACAACAUUGUCCUUCGGUCUAUAGAAGAGAUAUCCAAAGGAUGUCUGCGGGUAGCCGAUGAAAAUACAUCGCUCACUUCGAGGUUCAAGCUUGUCGUGAGUAUCUCGUCUUACGAAAGCCUCGCAACCCCAAACCUUGAUAUGUGCCAACGAGGGAGCUUUCCCUGUCCACAUCUCGUGAGGUGUUUUGGCAACCUUCUUAGUAGGGACUCGGUUAAGGAUAUGGGCGGCAGUCUCUAAGGCAUACCCCCAAAAAGAGAUUGGUAGUGAAGCACGACUCAUCAUAGAGCGAACCAUAUCCAAUAAGGUUCGAUUACGCCUUUCUGCCACACCAUUCAACUGCGGUGUCCUAGGAGGCGUCAAUUGUGAAACUAUUCCACACUCCUUGAGAUAAUCGUGGAAUUCAAGACUUAGGUACUCUCCUCCUCGAUCGGAUCGAAGCAUCUUGAUUUUCCUGCCCAAUUGAUUCUCCACUUCAUUCUUGAACUCUUUGAACUUUUCAAAGGUGUCUGACUUUUGCUUGAUUAAGUAGAUAUACCCAUAUCUACUAUAGUCAUCGGUAAAAGUCACAUAGAAGCGGUUCCCAUCCUUCGUGGUUGAUCUAAACGGUCCACAUACAUCGGUAUGUAUUAGGUCCAAUAGACCCUCGCCCCUUUCACAUGUACUCGUGAAGGGUGACUUAGUCAUCUUUCCAAGCAAACAAGACUCGCAUGUGUCAUCUUCCCUAAGGUCGAAUGACUCCAACACUCCAUCCUUUUGGAGUUGGGCUAUGCGUUUCUUGUUGACAUGUCCAAGACGACAAUGCCACAAGGAUGCUUUAUCCAUACUAGUGGAAGAAUCAAUAUUCAAAACAUCAUUUCCUAAGUUAUCAACAAUCAUAACGGUUUCAUAUAUUCCAUUACAUGGUAUAGCUUCAAAGUAAAAGACACCAUUUAGAUAAGCCAAAAUAGAACCAUUCUCAUUAUUAAAAGAAAAUCUAAAUCCUUGUCUAUAUAAACCAUGAAAUGAAAUGAUGUUUCUUGCCAUUUCUGGCGAAUAGCAACAAUUGUUCAAAUCUAAAACUAAACUAUUCCUAAGCACUAAGGAAUACACUCCAAUCUUGGUCACAGGCGACGAUCUUCUGUUCCCCAUGAUUAGAUUGAUCCUUCCUUGCUCCACAUCCCUACUUCUUCUUAGUCCCUGCACAUUAGAACAAAUGUGAUAACCACAACCGGUAUCAAGAACCCAAGAAAUAGCAUGAUUAGAAUCGUUAGAUUUGAUUGUAUAUAUACCUGCGAAAGAUGGCUUGAUCUUUCCUUCUUUGAUUGCUUGCAGGUAAUCCGGGCAGCUUCUCUUCCAAUGUCCUAUCUUGUGGCAGUGGUGGCACUCUGCCUCCUUCGGGUUAGAGCAGGGCUUAGCGGGAUCAACUUUGGUCCCACUAGAAGAGGCACCAUCUCGGGCUUUCACCUUGCGAUAGUUCUUCGAUGAAGCUUUCCUCUUCUUUCCCUUCCCUUGUCCAAUAGCCAAGACAGGAGCAGCGGGCGGAUUGGGAGUAGGUGCAACAGACUUGUCUUUGAAGUUGCUCUCAGCAACCCUCAAGAGACCUUGGAGCUUGCUUAGGGUGACCUCUUCUUUGUUCAUGUGGUAGGUCAUCCUAAAUUGAUUGUACAUCGGAGGCAAAGAGUGAAGCACCAUGUCGAUCGCCAAAUCCUCACCGAAGUCAACAUUUAACUUGCGAAGGCGGUCGACAUACCUUUGCAUCUUUUGCAAGUGCACGGUAAGAGAUUCUCCAUGACCCAUCUUCGCGGAAAUCAUGUUAGUGAAAAUCUCGUACCUCUCUUGUCUCGCGUUUUGGUGGUACCUCUCCAAUAAGUCUUGGUGCAUCUCGUACGGGUACAUGUCCUCGUAGGACUUUUGGAAUUCGGAGUUCAUGGUGGCGAUCAUGAUGCAAUGUACCUUCGUUGCAUCUCGCUCAUGAGUUUCAAAGGCGGUGAUUUCGGCGGGAGUAGCAAUUUCGGGGUUGAUUUUCUCGAGCUUCUCAUCGAGGACAUACUCCUUAUCCUCAUAGCGAGCAAUGGUGCGAAUGUAUCUUAUCCAUUCGCUAAAGUUCGUUCCAUCGAAGGUGACCUUUUGGCAAAGGCUCAUCAACGUGAAAGAACUAGCAGCAGCGUUGUUUGCGUUCGACAUCUACAAUUAGAAAAGGACAAAGAUAGAUUAGAAUAAGAAUCCCUAAUUAUCACCCAAUAAGAAAAUUAGGGCUAGGAUCCAACAAUAACAUUUACAUACUAGAAAAGGGAUGCCGUAAUCUAACAUGCAAAUAAAUUGAAGGUAAGUGAAUGACGAUUCACUAAUUCUCCAUCACAAAACUUAAACUAUUAGUCCUAAGUGUUUUUGAGAAUUCCUAGGUUCGGAUGAGAUUCAUUGAAACUAUUCAAUGGCAUGUUUAAAUCUCGAUAUGCCCCUCUUGUUUGUGACUGGGAUGCCGAGGAUCACAAAGCGGGUGUGAAUUACCAUGCAAAUUCACAUGGUGCCUUCAUUGUAACGAUCACCUAUUCGAUGUGCCGGUAAACCACACACGCUCCAUCGAACUAUGAUAAACAAUGAAUCACCCUUUGCCACCUUCGCUUAGAACCAAUUAGUGUGCCGGUAAACCACACACGCUCCACUAACAUCUUAGCAAGGUGCAAAGUGUAAUUUCAUGGGAUUGCAUCAAUUCACUUUUCCUAAAGUAACUAGGAUUGGGAAAUUUUAAAAUAUGUGUAGUUACUUUGUAUUUCUUAUUAUACUUUUAAUGAGAGGAUGAGGUUGCCCUAUCCUACCCGUUCGGCUAACGACCCUCCACCAAUCAAGCAAGCGGUGGGUGUGAGUGUACACCCAUUAAGCGCCAUUUUAUAGGCCGCAACCUUAUACCCACCUUAUAGAUCGGCUUCGUGAAUGAGGCCUACUAACGGUAAGACUAGCAUUUAGUUAUACAUAUAUAUAUUAUUCUAGUAAUAUCAUAUUAGUAUAGGGUUGUAUUUUAAAACUUUUAAAAUCUAGGGUUUGAAAUUUAAGUUGUCUAAAUUAAAACUUUUAAUCACAAAAGUAAAUUUCAAAACAUGAGGGUAGGUUUUAAACAUUUAAAACAUGGAGGAUCAAAUAACAAAUAAUUCCAAUUAACAAUUAAUAUCCUAAUUAUCUAUAUUUGAUUUAUUCAAGAUUUCUUUUUAAGAUAAUUACCAAAAUAAUCAAAAUAAUUAAUUAAUUAUCAUAUAAGGAAAUUAAAUAUUUAAUUAGUUGAUAAUUACCUUUAACUAGAUCAAGAUAAUAGUUAUAUUUAUCAGAAAAACGAAUUAAUGUUGAUCUAAUUAGUUUAUGGUAAGUUAAGAUAAGAUAAACACAAAGAAAUCCCGAAUCUGGCCAUUCCUGACGCCUGGACUCGCCGAGUGCACAAAUGGACUCGCCGAGUCAGGCCUACUCGCCGAGUCCACUUUGAGACUCGCCGAGUCCAUGACUCAGAAACCAAAAAAUCGAAUUUUGCAGGUUUGUUUCAGUUAAUCAAGCAACAAUUUACAGAAAACCAAGCUAGGCUCUGAUACCACUGAUGGGUUUUAGCCAUAAGAACUUUCCUAUGUGCGCAUGCAAAACCCUAAUGCUUGGAUCUAGGCUUUCUAAUAAACAUGCUUUGAAUCCAAGACUUCUAAUUACUAAUUAGGUUAAAUAACAACAUUGAAACAGAUCUAGAAUCAUACGUUUGAGUUCCUUGUUGAUCUUGAGGUCUUGGAGCUUCUAGAGUCACAAAUGUCACUCCUCUAAUGGCUUACAAACACCAAAGCAAGGAGGAUGAUUUGGGAGAGAGGAGAGGGGAGGAAUUUCGACCAGAGGUUCCUUACUUUAGGUCAAGUGUCGAAUUCCAUCAGCCAUGGGGUCUAUUUAUACUUGUAGACUCCUUAAGGAUUACAGAUAAGUCCCUAUCAGAUAAUCUUCUCUUAAGGCUAUCCAAAUCCAUUCCUAGAUAACUCUAAUGGACGAUUUUAGCUAUCCUAAUCCUCUUAGAAUUCGUCCAUAGUAUAUCCAAAUGGAUUUACAGUCUAAAGCUUAACUAUCAAACAAUUGACAGUUUAUACCCCUUUAUUUAAUUAAUCUCUUUAAGUCACCAAAUUAAUUCUAAUUAAUUCUAUGACUUAUAUUAAUCAAAUAACAAAUAUAUUAUUCAUUAUAUUAUUCUCAUAAUAUAUUAAUAAUAUUUAUUCUCUCUUAAUAAAUCAUCCUAUCAAGUUGCUAUGGUGAAGGCAACCCAAAAGGACCAUGCACAACCGGAUAUAAUUACAGCCUUAGACACUAUUCCAACAGUCUUGGGAAGAUUUCCUAGUGCAACUGAAAAUGCAGUACUGCUCUGAGC
Molecule: long non-coding RNA, 8078 nt
Filed under: Lactuca sativa (garden lettuce)
Lineage: Eukaryota; Viridiplantae; Streptophyta; Magnoliopsida; Asterales; Asteraceae
Description: long non-coding RNA (LSAT_LNC002814)
Source: RNAcentral